Molecule: unclassified non-coding RNA, 88 nt
Filed under: Pseudomonas extremorientalis
Lineage: Bacteria; Pseudomonadati; Pseudomonadota; Gammaproteobacteria; Pseudomonadales; Pseudomonadaceae
Source: RNAcentral
UGUAGGAGCUGGCUUGCCUGCGAUGACGACGGAUCAGCCAAACAGUUGUCACUGAUAGUCCGCUAUCGCAGGCAAGCCAGCUCCCACA